Molecule: ribosomal RNA, 700 nt
Filed under: uncultured bacterium
Lineage: Bacteria
Description: bacterial SSU rRNA
Rfam family: Bacterial small subunit ribosomal RNA
Source: RNAcentral
AGUGGCGAACGGGUGAGUAAUGCAUCGGAACGUGCCCAAGAGUGGGGGAUAGCCCGGCGAAAGCCGGAUUAAUACCGCAUACGAUCUAUGGAUGAAAGUGGGGGACCGCAAGGCCUCACGCUCCUGGAGCGGCCGAUGUCAGAUUAGGUAGUUGGUGGGGUAAAGGCUCACCAAGCCAACGAUCUGUAGCUGGUUUGAGAGAACGACCAGCCACACUGGGACUGAGACACGGCCCAGACUCCUACGGAGGCAGCAGUGGGGAAUUUUGGACAAUGGGCGCAAGCCUGAUCCAGCAAUGCCGCGUGCAGGAUGAAGGCCUUCGGGUUGUAAACCGCUUUUGUACGGAGCGAAAAGGCUUCUUCUAAUACAGGAGGCUCAUGACGGUACCGUAAGAAUAAGCACCGGCUAACUACGUGCCAGCAGCCGCGGUAAUACGUAGGGUGCAAGCGUUAAUCGGAAUUACUGGGCGUAAAGCGUGCGCAGGCGGUGAUGUAAGACAGAGGUGAAAUCCCCGGGCUCAACCUGGGAACUGCCUUUGUGACUGCAUCGCUAGAGUACGGUAGAGGGGGGUGGAAUUCCGCGUGUAGCAGUGAAAUGCGUAGAUAUGCGGAGGAACACCGAUGGCGAAGGCAGCCCCCUGGACCUGUACCGACGCUCAUGCACGAAAGCAUGGGGAGCAAACAGGAUUAGAUACCCUGGU